GAUGAACGCUGGCGGCGUGCCUAAUACAUGCAAGUCGAGCGAACGGACGAGAAGCUUGCUUCUCUGAUGUUAGCGGCGGACGGGUGACUAACACGUGGAUAACCUACCUAUAAGACUGGGAUAACUUCGGGAAACCGGAGCUAAUACCGGAUAAUAUUUUGAACCGCAUGGUUCAAAAGUGAAAGACGGUCUUGCUGUCACUUAUAGAUGGAUCCGCGCUGCAUUAGCUAGUUGGUAAGGUAACGGCUUACCAAGGCAACGAUGCAUAGCCGACCUGAGAGGGUGAUCGGCCACACUGGAACUGAGACACGGUCCAGACUCCUACGGGAGGCAGCAGUAGGGAAUCUUCCGCAAUGGGCGAAAGCCUGACGGAGCAACGCCGCGUGAGUGAUGAAGGUCUUCGGAUCGUAAAACUCUGUUAUUAGGGAAGAACAUAUGUGUAAGUAACUGUGCACAUCUUGACGGUACCUAAUCAGAAAGCCACGGCUAACUACGUG
RNAcentral lists this ribosomal RNA (497 nucleotides) under uncultured bacterium. RNAcentral's name for it is "partial 16S ribosomal RNA". It matches the Rfam family "Bacterial small subunit ribosomal RNA", at positions 28 to 507 of the family's 1533-position model. The record is from RNAcentral.